This 879-nucleotide ribosomal RNA is filed under the name uncultured Neocallimastigales. RNAcentral's name for it is "partial large subunit ribosomal RNA". It matches the Rfam family "Eukaryotic large subunit ribosomal RNA", at positions 22 to 693 of the family's 3401-position model. Lineage: Eukaryota; Fungi; Neocallimastigomycota; Neocallimastigomycetes; Neocallimastigales. The record is from RNAcentral.
AUAUCAGUCAUGCAUAGCAUAUCAAUAAGCGGAGGAAAAGAAACUAACAAGGAUUCCCCUAGUAACGGCGAGUGAAGCGGGAAGAGCUCAAAUUUGAAAUCUUAAAAGGUUUUCCUUUUACGAAUUGUAGUUUAAAGAAGUGUUUUCUGUUAAAAUUUUAGUAAAAGUUCUUUGGAAUAGGACAUCAUAGAGGGUGAGAAUCCCGUAUUUGACUAGAAUUUUUUUAACUUUGUGAUACACUUUCAAAGAGUCGGAUUGUUUGGGAAUGCAGUCCAAAAUGGGUGGUAAAUUUCAUCUAAAGCUAAAUAUUGGCGAGAGACCGAUAGCGAACAAGUACCGUGAGGGAAAGAUGAAAAGAACUUUGAAAAGAGAGUUAAAUAGUACGUGAAAUUGUCAAAAGGGAAGCGUUUGGCACCAGUGUUGUUUUUCUAAAAAUCAAUUUAAAAUUUACUUAUGUUAAGUAUUUUAGACUUUAUCAGCUAUAUAUUUAAUUUUUUGUAAUUUUUGAAUGCACUUUUUAGUUAACAAGUCAACAUCAAUUUCUUUUGUUGUAAAAAAAUAAGAGGAAGGUGGCUUGGAAUUUAUUUUCAAGUGUUUAUAGCCUUUUAUUUAUGCAAUAGGAGGGAUUGAGGUCUGCAGCAUAGAUCCUUCGGGGCUAGAUGCAUUUGUGCUAGAAGCCAGUAUUAUAUAAACAACUUGUUGAUUAUAUAAUAUGUUGAUUUCUACUCGCAGGUGUUAUUUUACCUACGCUUAGGAUGUUGACACACGCGCGUGCUCGGCUCUAUACAUGACUCUGUGCAUAUCAAUAAGCGGAGGAAAAGGCUGCGGAACUGAACGACCGCUACCUACGCUUAGGAUGUUGAUCUACAGAGCGAGAGU